UACGGAGGGUGCAAGCGUUGUUCGGAAUCACUGGGCUUAAAGCGCGUGUAGGCGGCCCGUCAAGUACCUUGUGAAAUCCCUCGGCUCAACCGGGGAAUGGCUGGGUAUACUGUCGGGCUUGAGGUGGGUAGGGGUGCCUGGAACUCUAGGUGGAGCGGUGAAAUGCGUAGAUAUCUAGAGGAACGCCCGUGGCGAAAGCGGGGCACUGGGCCUUACCUGACGCUAAGACGCGAAAGCGUGGGGAGCAAACGGG
Molecule: ribosomal RNA, 253 nt
Filed under: uncultured bacterium
Lineage: Bacteria
Description: partial 16S ribosomal RNA
Rfam family: Bacterial small subunit ribosomal RNA
Source: RNAcentral